UGACCUAUGCCGGAGUUCAUGAAUGUUCCU
RNAcentral lists this non-coding RNA (30 nucleotides) under Rattus norvegicus (Norway rat). Lineage: Eukaryota; Metazoa; Chordata; Mammalia; Rodentia; Muridae. The record is from RNAcentral.